CCUGAGUCCUCUCUAUCUCCUAACCUCCUGGGGCAGCCACAACUACCUCCCAGAAUUAAGGGGCUGCCCAGGUCCUUCCUUCCUUGAUCUCAUGUUCCCCAAGCUGGCCUCAAACCCAGAGCCUUGGCGCCCUCUGAUGGUCAUUGGGCAGUCAAACGGGAUGGGGGAAGAAACAAACAUUUAUAUAAUUCCACCGAGAACAACGUAACUGGUAUUAAUGGGGGGCCAUAAAAAGAGGCAAGAGACAGCCCUUGCCUUCGAGGAGUUCAUAGGCUAACAGAGACACAACACUCCCCCAAUAUAUACAAAAAACUUAGGCACAGGAUAAAUAGAAAAUAAUGAACCUUGGGAAGGUAUUAUUACAUCAUUGAAACCAUGGUUCUGGGAAGAAAAAUUCCCAGGAUCUAGCCCAAAGGUUAGUAGUAGAUGGGAGGUGCCUUCAGAAAUGUUUGAUGGGCCACCCAGCCUUUGUGGAAAGUUCUCUGGUGAAGCAGGAAUGCAUUAUCCCCAUGGAAGCAAAAACUUUGUCUCCUAUCCGCCUCCCUCAAGUGCCGCAGAUUGGGGUUUCAUAUACUUCUCUCCCUUCCACCUACUCAACAAUCUAGAAACAUCAGACUCUUUGCCAUUCUUAGACCAAGAUGUUCCAUCCUCUGACUCUGGGUAUUUUUUCUGCCUGUUUUGGAGGAGAGAAUUUGCAAGGCAUGCAUGCAAGACAGAAAGCAGAGGACAGAAGCUGUCAUUCAAAAUGAAGAAUCCAUUGGAAUGUGACUGGGAGACAGCUGAAGCCAAGUCAACGGCUGGAUUGGGCUGAAAAGGAGCUUUUGGCUUUUGACUUUUGGCUUCUGGCUGAUGGUGGUGGUUGGCUUUUGCUGGCUGGCUGAUUUGAAAGAAGAAAAAGAAGAAAGACAGUGGUCCUCGUAUCUCUCUGACUGACUCUGUUUCACAAUUGUGACUGAUUGCCAAUACCCUCAUUUGUAGAGAAUAGGGAAAUCCUACCCCUCUUACCUUAUCCUCUACCCUUGUCCUGUCUUCCCCAAAUAAACCCUUACUUGAGAAAAAAAGAGAAAAGAGU
Molecule: long non-coding RNA, 1072 nt
Filed under: Monodelphis domestica (gray short-tailed opossum)
Lineage: Eukaryota; Metazoa; Chordata; Mammalia; Didelphimorphia; Didelphidae
Description: lncRNA (ENSMODG00000036291.2)
Source: RNAcentral